UACGGAGGGGGCUAGCGUUGUUCGGAAUUACUGGGCGUAAAGCGCACGUAGGCGGCUUUGUAAGUUAGGGGUGAAAGCCCGGAGCUCAACUCCGGAAUUGCCUUUAAGACUGCAUCGCUCGAAUCAUGGAGAGGUGAGUGGAAUUCCGAGUGUAGAGGUGAAAUUCGUAGAUAUUCGGAAGAACACCAGUGGCGAAGGCGACUCACUGGACAUGUAUUGACGCUGAGGUGCGAAAGCGUGGGGAGCAAACAGG
RNAcentral lists this ribosomal RNA (253 nucleotides) under uncultured bacterium. RNAcentral's name for it is "partial 16S ribosomal RNA". It matches the Rfam family "Bacterial small subunit ribosomal RNA", at positions 524 to 776 of the family's 1533-position model. The record is from RNAcentral.